RNAcentral lists this ribosomal RNA (497 nucleotides) under uncultured bacterium. RNAcentral describes it as "partial 16S ribosomal RNA". It matches the Rfam family "Bacterial small subunit ribosomal RNA", at positions 28 to 507 of the family's 1533-position model. The record is from RNAcentral.
GAUGAACGCUGGCGGCGUGCCUAAUACAUGCAAGUCGAGCGAACAGAUGAGGAGCUUGCUCCUCUGACGUUAGCGGCGGACGGGUGAGUAACACGUGGAUAACCUACCUAUCAGACUGGGAUAACUUCGGGAAACCGGAGCUAAUACCGGAUAAUAUAUUGAACCGCAUGGUUCAAUAGUGAAAGACGGUUUUGCUGUCACUUAUAGAUGGAUCCGCGCCGCAUUAGCUAGUUGGUAAGGUAACGGCUUACCACGGCAACGAUGCGUAGCCGACCUGAGAGGGUGAUCGGCCACCCUGGAACUGAGACACGGUCCAGACUCCUACGGGAGGCAGCAGUAGGGAAUCUUCCGCAAUGGGCGAAAGCCUGACGGAGCAACGCCGCGUGAGUGAUGAAGGUCUUCGGAUCGUAAAACUCUGUUAUUAGGGAAGAACAAAUGUGUAAGUAACUAUGCACGUCUUGACGGUACCUAAUCAGAAAGCCACGGCUAACUACGUG